This 334-nucleotide RNase P RNA is filed under the name Varanus komodoensis (Komodo dragon). RNAcentral's name for it is "Nuclear RNase P (ENSVKKG00000000428.1)". It matches the Rfam family "Nuclear RNase P". Rfam says of the family: Ribonuclease P (RNase P) is a ubiquitous endoribonuclease, found in archaea, bacteria and eukarya as well as chloroplasts and mitochondria. Its best characterised activity is the generation of mature 5'-ends of tRNAs by cleaving the 5'-leader elements of precursor-tRNAs. Lineage: Eukaryota; Metazoa; Chordata; Lepidosauria; Squamata; Varanidae. The record is from Rfam by way of RNAcentral.
GCUGGGAGGAAGCUCUCCGUAGAGGCCACUUACGGGGUGUUCGUCACCCUUGCUCCGCCUUUGGGAAGGUCUGAGAGAAGGGCCAAGCACCGCCCUAGCAGGGCGCCGCCUGCGGAAGGCGGGUGAGUUCCCAGCAAUGUGGGUCUCCAGUGAAGCCAAAGAUAGGGGCAGGAGAAGCAGCGGAGGGGCCUCGUUCUCCUUCCUGCGGAUGCCUCCGCCGCUUGCUUGGGAUUUGGGAAUGACUCACGGCCGGCAAUGAUGAGUACAAUGGGCAGAGGUGAAGUAAAGCUGAAAGCGCGCUUCAUAACCCAAUUCAGACUAGUCUCCAACCAGC